Molecule: ribosomal RNA, 2103 nt
Filed under: Gillisia sp. Hel1_33_143
Lineage: Bacteria; Pseudomonadati; Bacteroidota; Flavobacteriia; Flavobacteriales; Flavobacteriaceae
Description: bacterial LSU rRNA
Rfam family: Bacterial large subunit ribosomal RNA
Source: RNAcentral
AGCACAUAAGCUAAAUAAGGGCGUAUGGGGAAUGCCUAGGCUCUCAGAGGCGAUGAAGGACGUGAUAAGCUGCGAAAAGCUGCGGGGAUUGGCACACACAAAUUGAUCCGCAGAUAUCCGAAUGGGGCAACCCAGUACAUUGAAGAUGUAUUAUCCGCAAGGAGGCGAACCCGGGGAACUGAAACAUCUAAGUACCCGGAGGAGAAGAAAACAAUAGUGAUUGCGCAAGUAGCGGCGAGCGAACGCGCAUUAGCCCAAACCAAUGAGUUUACGGACUUAUUGGGGUUGUAGGACCACGAUAUUUGAUGCGUAAUGAAUUAGAACACUUUGGAAAGAGUGACCAUAGAGGGUGAUAGUCCCGUAUAGGUAAAGAGCGUUAUUGAUAGUGGUAUCCUGAGUAGUGCGGGGCACGAGAAACCCUGUAUGAAUUUGGCGGGACCAUCCGCUAAGGCUAAAUACUCCUGAGAGACCGAUAGUGAACCAGUACCGUGAGGAAAGGUGAAAAGAACCGUGAAUAACGGAGUGAAAUAGAUCCUGAAACCAUACGCUUACAAGCGGUCGGAGCCUUUAGGGGUGACGGCGUGCCUUUUGCAUAAUGAGCCUACGAGUUACCGUUGCCAGCAAGGUUAAGCCUUUAAGAGGUGGAGCCGUAGCGAAAGCGAGUCUUAAUAGGGCGCUGUAGUUGUAGUGGUAGACGCGAAACCGUGUGAUCUACCCUUGGGCAGGUUGAAGCUGUGGUAACACAUAGUGGAGGACCGAACCCGUUGACGUUGAAAAGUCUUGGGAUGACCUGAGGGUAGGGGUGAAAGGCCAAUCAAACUCGGAAAUAGCUCGUACUCCCCGAAAUGCAUUUAGGUGCAGCGAUAAUUUAGUUUUAUAGAGGUAGAGCUACUGAUUGGAUGCGGGGGCUUCACCGCCUACCAAUUCCUGACAAACUCCGAAUGCUAUAAAAUGAUUUUUAUCAGUGAGGGCAUGGGUGCUAAGGUCCAUGUCCGAGAGGGAAAGAACCCAGACCAUCAGCUAAGGUCCCCAAAUGUAUAUUAAGUUGAAAAAACGCGGUUGAACUGCCCAGACAGCUAGGAUGUUGGCUGGAAGCAGCCAUUCAUUUAAAGAGUGCGUAACAGCUCACUAGUCGAGCGGUUCGGCAUGGGAUAAUAAUCGGGCAUAAAUAUACUACCGAAGCUAUGGAUUUACAGAUUACUGUAAGUGGUAGGGGAGCAUUCUAAUAGGGUUGAAGGUGUACUGCGAGGUAUGCUGGACUAAUUAGAAAAGAAAAUGUAGGCAUAAGUAACGAUUAAUGCGGGCGAGAAACCCGCACACCGAAAGACUAAGGUUUCCUCAGCUAUGCUAAUCAGCUGAGGGUUUAGUCGGACCUAACGCGACCCGAAUGGGUUAGUGGAUGGACAACAGAUUAAUUUCUGUACCUGCCCCACGUUAAACGUGACGGAGGCGAAAAGUUAGUGCGUACUGACGGAAUAGUACGUUGAAGCCAGUGGUAACACGGCAAUAGUACACAAAAGCUUCGGCCGGCGUGAUAAUCUAGCAAAUCGACUUCCAAGAAAAGCAAGUGGUGGCAGCCCGUACCGUAAACCGACACAGGUAGUUGGGAUGAGAAUUCUAAGGUGCUCGAGAGAUUCAUGGUUAAGGAACUAGGCAAAAUCGACCCGUAACUUCGGGAGAAGGGUCGCCCAUCUUCGGAUGGGCCGCAGUGAAGAGGUCCAGGCGACUGUUUAUCAAAAACACAGGGCUCUGCUAAAUCGAAAGAUGACGUAUAGGGCCUGACACCUGCCCGGUGCUGGAAGGUUAAGAGGAGAUGUUAGCUUCGGCGACGCAUUGAAUUGAAGCCCCAGUAAACGGCGGCCGUAACUAUAACGGUCCUAAGGUAGCGAAAUUCCUUGUCGGGUAAGUUCCGACCUGCACGAAUGGUGCAACGAUCUGGACACUGUCUCAACCAUGAGCUCGGUGAAAUUGUAGUAUCGGUGAAGAUGCCGAUUACCCGCUGUGGGACGAAAAGACCCCGUGCACCUUUACUAUAGCUUAGUAUUGACUUUGGACAAGUGAUGUGUAGGAUAGGUGGGAGACGUUGAAGCUGCAUCGCUAGGU